GAUGAGAUCUGAUAAGUACAGCUAGGAAAAAACUCUUUGGAAAAAACAAGAACUGCAUGUGGCACUGCAGAGUGGGAGAGGGAGACAGAGAGAUGGAGAAGAAAUAAAAUGUCUGUGCGUCACCCCUGCCUUGGAGUUAUACACCUAGCUUGUAGAUGCAAAGCACUGCAGAGAAUAUGCAUGGAAUAACUCGUAUCUUGAAGGAUGUUUUCCUUUAAAACCAAGAAGAAAGCAAAAACAAAGCUGAAAUUGAAACCGGCAACAGAUAAUCACAGGCAGUUGUUCAGGGUUGCCAAAGCAUCUAACACCCGUUCUCCUGAGAGCUCCACUUCUGAACCAUGCUAACAUUGUGAGAAAUCUCAGCCUGAGGAAGGAGACAGGGUUAUUUUAGUGGAUCCAAGGAACGGUGCAGUGCCACAGACUGUUGCAUUGACACAACUGAUGGAGCAGCCUGUGGAGGU
Long non-coding RNA from Chroicocephalus ridibundus (black-headed gull), 461 nucleotides. RefSeq lists it as uncharacterized. NCBI's taxonomy places the organism in Eukaryota, Metazoa, Chordata, Aves, Charadriiformes, Laridae. The record is from RefSeq and is a predicted model, not a curated record. The transcript is spliced from 4 exons.